AGAGGGAUAGCUGGGACAAAUGGUGGUUCCAUUCCAUGUUUUCUGAGGAAUUUCCACUGUGCUUUCCAAAGUGGUUGCACCAAUUUGCAGUCCUACCAGCAAU
Molecule: microRNA precursor, 103 nt
Filed under: Marmota monax (woodchuck)
Lineage: Eukaryota; Metazoa; Chordata; Mammalia; Rodentia; Sciuridae
Source: RNAcentral